CCUACGGGUGGCAGCAGUGAGGAAUAUUGGUCAAUGGACGAGAGUCUGAACCAGCCAUGCCGCGUGCGGGAAGACGGCUCUAUGAGUUGUAAACUGCUUUUGUACGAGGGUAAAAGCCGAUACGCGUAUCGGUCUGAGAGUAUCCGAAGAAAAAGGAUCGGCUAACUCCGUGCCAGCAGCCGCGGUAAUACGGAGGAUUCAAGCGUUAUCCGGAUUUAUUGGGUUUAAAGGGUGCGUAGGCGGUCGGAUAAGUUAGAGGUGAAAUCCCGAGGCUCAACUUCGGAAUUGCCGCUGAUACGGUUCGGCUAGAGAGGAGGUGAGGUAGGCGGAAUGCAUGGUGUAGCGGUGAAAUGCAUAGAGAUCACACAGAACACCGAUUGCGAAGGCAGCAUACCAACCUACUGCUGACGCUGAGGCACGAAAGCGUGGGGAUCAAACAGGAUUAGAUACCCCUGUAGUC
This 460-nucleotide ribosomal RNA is filed under the name uncultured bacterium. RNAcentral describes it as "partial 16S ribosomal RNA". It matches the Rfam family "Bacterial small subunit ribosomal RNA", at positions 338 to 795 of the family's 1533-position model. The record is from RNAcentral.